GGUCGUUUCUCCAGAAACGGCUGCGGGGACCCCAGCUUUGUUCUCCCUGUUUCUCGGGGACACGUAUCGCUGCCCUGGCCUCCUGCCGGACACCGUGCUAAAGGCCCAGGAGCAGGAAACCGAGGCCGGAUUCGCUGCCGCCCCCGCCAAGCCCUCCUCCAACACACACCUGCAGGGAGGCCGGCUGGCCUCUGGCCUCUGGCCUCUAACUUCCAGCUUUCGUUUUCGGUGUUCUUUCUAUUCUUAGCCUGAGCCCCACGCUUCCUCUCCGCAACAUGCAAAUGUCGGGCUGUCACAGAUGGCUGCAAAGUCACAGCCCGGUGUUCCCAGCAGCGAGCGUGGGAUUGCAUAGGGCUAGGCCUUCAUUUUGUAAACCUUCCUCGACUGCAGUUGGUGAGUUUUCCGCAAGCCGGCAUUGCCUCGGGAGGACAAUCGUUUUCCCGGGGAUCAAAAGGCAGGCAGGCCUCGCCCCUUGGCUUCCCCAUCUGAAAAGUGGGGCCCGACUAGCACUUUCCUCACCAGGCCAGUGAAGGGCAUAGCUUACGAACAUUAUUAAGCACCUUGUGCAUACUGGAGGUUGGGUCCUCGGGGGGCAACCAGAUGUGGACCCUGCCCUUGAGGGGCUGGUGGGGAAGACAGGUUUCCACAGGCAACUAAAAUUCAGAAUGGUGCACACGAUGGAGCAGUGAUGGGCACAUCUUGGGGGCAGCUAGAGGAGGGGGCUCUCCGGGGGGCCUGGACUUCUGAGCAUGGGCGUAGGGAAGGACGAGAGAGCCGGCGGCAUUCGGGGUGGACACGGGUCCGUGGAGGGCACUGCAUGGGGGGCAGGGGACGAGGGGUGGCACCUGGCUCCACUGGGCCCCUGCUUUAUUGGCAAGACUGGACCACCUGGCACCUUCAACAAGGCUGUUUUGAAGAGAUCUCUGUGACAGAACGACAGCCAGAGAUGUUGCUACAUCUUGCACGUGCGGGCUCCACGGCCCCCGAGAAACCACAGUGUCCCGUGGGAACACCCACCCGCAGCACCUGGGGACCACGAAGAUGGAGACAGGACCCGUCUCCAGGGAGCGGAGAAAUGCAGGCCGGUCCCCCAGCCCCUCCCAGGGCCCAUCUGCGCUGAGUGACAAUCUCCUCCUAAUGAGAAGCAAUAAAGGCUAAUUAUCCACA
Long non-coding RNA from Felis catus (domestic cat), 1167 nucleotides. RefSeq lists it as uncharacterized. The transcript has 2 exons. The record is from RefSeq and is a predicted model, not a curated record. Lineage: Eukaryota; Metazoa; Chordata; Mammalia; Carnivora; Felidae.